CUGAGAGCUACACCAUCAUUGUGCCAUCCAGUUCCAUAGGUGACUAACAGCCGCUCAUAAUUAGGACACAUCAACACAUUCUCCUCCAGUCACCUUCAUUAUGAGAUAAACCCAACAUUAGCUGAUGGACUUGGAUUCUGUUGGUUUUCCUAUUAGAGUCAAUACCAUUUGUGCCCAGCUUAGUCUACCGUGAUAUCCUCUUCUCUGGUGUCAAAAGAAAUCAGGCAAUAUAAACACUUUAUAAGAAAAAUUACACAGAUUGCAUCCAUAGGGAAAGUUUCUUAAAAGACACGCAAUAGUGAUUUUCAGGCUCUUGUGUUAGCCUUUCCCAAGCUACGGGUCCUUUUUCAAUGGUGCCCUG
Molecule: non-coding RNA, 361 nt
Organism: Pelobates cultripes (western spadefoot toad)
Lineage: Eukaryota; Metazoa; Chordata; Amphibia; Anura; Pelobatidae
Source: the annotation of a GenBank genome assembly